CAAUAGCGUAUAUUUAAGUUGUUGCAGUUAAAAAGCUCGUAGUUGGAUUUCUGCUGAUCGCUGUCGGUCUGCCGUCAGGUGUGUACUGGCAGUGUUUGACAUCUAUUCGAGAUUGGGUGUCCACUUGAUUGUGUGCACUCGAUGUCGGAGCUAAUACUUUGAGAAAAUUAGAGUGUUCCACGCAGGCGCGUGCCUUGAAUACUGCAGCAUGGGAUAUUGGAAGGCCGAUUGAGCUUUCUUGUUGGUUCUCGGUUUGAUCGGAAUGAUUAAUAGGGAUAGUUGGGGGCAUUCGUAUUCAACUGUCAGAGGUGAAAUUCUUGGAUUUGUUGAAGACGGACUACUGCGAAAGCAUCUGCCAUGGAUGUUCUCAUUGA
This 374-nucleotide ribosomal RNA is filed under the name uncultured eukaryote. RNAcentral's name for it is "partial 18S ribosomal RNA". It matches the Rfam family "Eukaryotic small subunit ribosomal RNA", at positions 592 to 976 of the family's 1831-position model. The record is from RNAcentral.